This 409-nucleotide ribosomal RNA is filed under the name uncultured bacterium. Its description in RNAcentral is "bacterial SSU rRNA". It matches the Rfam family "Bacterial small subunit ribosomal RNA", at positions 505 to 916 of the family's 1533-position model. The record is from RNAcentral.
GUGGCAGCCGCCGCGGUAAUACGGAGGGUGCAAGCGUUAUCCGGAUUCAUUGGGUUUAAAGGGUGCGCAGGCGGAUACUUAAGUCAGUGGUGAAAUCCCGGGGCUCAACCCCGGAACUGCCAUUGAUACUGAAUAUCUGGAAUACGGUUGAAGUGGGCGGAAUGUAGCAUGUAGCGGUGAAAUGCAUAGAGAUGCUACAGAACACCGAUUGCGAAGGCAGCUCACUAAGCCGAUAUUGACGCUCAGGCACGAAAGCGUGGGGAGCGAACAGGAUUAGAUACCCUGGUAGUCCACGCCGUAAACGAUGAUAACUCGUUGUUGGCGACACACAGUCAGCGACUAAGCGAAAGCGAUAAGUUAUCCACCUGGGGAGUACGAUCGCAAGGUUGAAACUCAAAUGAAUUGACGG